This is a long non-coding RNA of Hippocampus zosterae (dwarf seahorse), 3069 nucleotides long. RefSeq lists it as uncharacterized. The record is from RefSeq and is a predicted model, not a curated record. The transcript has 2 exons. Lineage: Eukaryota; Metazoa; Chordata; Actinopteri; Syngnathiformes; Syngnathidae.
GUAGCGGUCAACUGGUGAAUAUAAAACAGGACCUGAGACACGCUUCAACCGCUCGUCGUUCCCGAACGCAUGGAACCAAUCAUUGGGUCUCCUGUCGCGCCACUGCAUUACCCCCUGGACCCUGUCGACUCAUACUUGAUACCAAUCAUUGGCUCUCCCAUAGCGCCACUGCAUUAUUGCCGUCCACGCCUCCUCUGACGAGGGGUCCAUCUCAAGCAGGCAUGUCCAGCUCUGGGCCUGAAGGGCCGCUGUUCGGCCUGUUUACCAGCUUUCCCCCCUGGCAAAUGACACGGGAGUGUGUCUGGUUUUAUUGGACUUAAAGACCAAGUGUGAAGUAAAGUUGGCCAACCAUGUUUUUGAGUAAUAUCAAUGGCUGUACAAUUAUAGGCAGAUUUCCGUUAGUUUUUUAACGCAACCCUUCCAGAUUCUUUGUUUAAUCCUGAGCAACGCCCUUGACAACGAAAAUGCUUUUAUUCGGCAAUCUUCGGAAAUGACGUCACAUGGAGAACUGCGAGGGAAGUCCUUCCAUUGAACAGCAUUGUUGCAUUGCUUGUUGGUAAGAUGCCACGGCGGUGUGUGGCGAUGCAUUGUUCGCAAUCGACAGAAAAGUUGUACCAGUGGCCGAAGGAUAGCAGGGCAUGUAAAUUACAUCUUUUAUUCGCACAAAGCGAAUGAAUUUCAGGCCAUCGACGAGUGUUCUCUGCCAUCUCCACUUCAAAGAUGACUGCUUUCUCAACCGAUCUGCUUAUGAUCAAGGAUUUGCAAAAAGUAAGUGCUUUUUGGAAAAAUUAUGAUGAUUUUGUCAAGGGAUAGCUGGCAACUCUUGUGGAAUGAAGAGUAGAAGGUAGCGACGUAGCGAAAGCUAACUCGAGAAGCUAGCAAAGUUGAACAGAAGCUAGCGACGUUUGUUUUCGGCUUGAGGCAAACAAGCUGAUGAUUUUGUCAAAGUAUAGCUGCCAACUCUUGUGGAAUGAACAGUAGAAGGCAGCGACGUUAGCCAAAAGCUAACUCGAGAAGCUAGCAACGUUGAACAGACUGGAGAAGCUGACGAUAGUGACAUUAGUUUUCGGCUCGAGGCAAACCCCGAUCGAUGCUAUUCAUAUCAGUGAUGAGUAAUAAUGGCAGUCAGACAAAUUGUUCUGGAAGUACAUUUAAAUAGGUUGGCAGCGCUUUGUUGACAAAUGAACAUGACACGUCCUCUUGGAAAACUGUGUGACUAGCCCAUAGGAAAUGAACUGCUUUGUAGAUUAUAUGCGGCAUAAUUACAUGCCAAUUAUUUUAGUCUCAUGACGCGUAUUAAAUUUAUCCUUUAGAGUCACGAGACUGGGGGAAGCCAUGGAAUGGAACUGGAGGGCCUGAAAAGAUGCCGUUAGGAGUUAGAAGGCUUCAAUGUAAAACUUGUUAUCACUGACGGGCAUCGCCAGGUGGGGAAAUGGAUCAGGGAGAAUUGGACCCAAGUCAUCCAUUAUUAUGAUUGUUGGCACAUUGCUAAAGGUAUGUGCAAGAAACUGGACUCCUUGGCCAAAAAGAAGAGCAUGUUGAUCCUGAAGGAUUGGGUACAAUGUUUGAAGUGCCAUUUGUACUGGUGUGCACUUUCCUCCCAGACACCGGAGGAAAAGAAGCAGAAGUGGCUGGCAUGUGUGGACCACCUGCAGAACAUGCACGAUAGUUGUUUACAUCCUUCAAUUACUAGAGAAAAAGCAUGGCUAUUACCAGUUUUUUUUUUUGGUUUAAAAAAACAUUUUUUUAGAUGUUUCCUGCUAGUUAACCCUAAAAAAUAGAAAUAUUGUCAUACCUUGUAAAUUCAUUUAAAGGUACUGAAGUCAAUGUCGCAGUGGUGGAACUCCUGACAAAGACCAUGUUUGUCAACGAUGUCAUGAAGAUGGCUCACCUCGGGCAGACGGUCUCGAAGCUUUUCACAGUGUGGUGAAUCACUUUGCCCCAAAGACGUACCACUUCUCGUCCAAAGGAAUGAAAAGCAGGUGUGUUAAAGAAAACUGAUAUGCAUGAAAUGUAGACUAUAGUGAAAUGUAGAACUUUGAGAUAUAACGUUAUUUGAUCACAAUUUGACAAUUUUUUAAAAUAUGAUCAUUUUGACAUUUAAAAUAUAAGCAUUUUUGUUCUAUUCCAAAAUAAUUCUUGCUGCUAUGCAUUUUCAUGAAAAUGCUGGCAGACCACAGAAAGUGACAAAGAAAGGAAUACACUCCUACUGUAUUGUUUAUCCCAAAUAUAAGAGUGGUGGGUAUUCUCUGAGAAAGAUACUGGUGGAUGCAACAUGGUAAAUUAUGAAAUAAAAAGUAAUUACAGGCAGAUGCAUGACAUACUGAGGAUAACCCAUAUGUCGUCCAAAUAUUUGUCAUCCCAAUGUUUUUUGUUGUUGUUGUUGUUGACUGUGAAUGACUGCCUGUCAGAGGUGAUGAAACUGACUGCCAUUCAAAAUAAGUACAGAACUGGUGAUGUGUGUGUCAACCCGCAACUUCUGACAGCAGCACUGAACAGACCAGACCGGACAAGUCAACCGUUACGGCCGAGCACCAGACUAGAUUCCUCAGGAAAUAAAAAAAAUAAAUUCCCUGGAUUCAGUUGUCCUCAUUUGUUUAUUUUUAUUACAGUAUUUUGUUAUGAUAGACAACAUGUCCACAUUAACAACUCUAAAACCAAUCCAAAUCACAGUUCUGGAACAUUUCUCUGUGAAACUCGAAAACCCUUUGAAUACAGCUGACUCCUCUUCUCCUGUUGAUGGAAAAUGUGCCCUGAUACAAGACACAGUGCGUGCUGGGAGCACAACACGGUUGUCCUGACCAAGAAACUUCCAGCACCAGCGAUUCCUGUGACCCAUCAAAUGCCCUGCCUUUGUACUGCUGCUUGUUGGUCAUCCAUCCCACCUGUCAUCCAUAUGGGUCUAGGCACACAGCAUUGAGUCCAGGAUGGUCGGUGAUGCAGUCCAGCACCUGAUUGAAGUGUUCCUCUCCUUGUCGACAUACAGUCACUACUUCUUGAAUUUCAUGGCAGCAAGCACAUUCAACUGCUGUAGGCAUUUGCUGGCAUUUACCACAAGUACACCUGAAA